This is a non-coding RNA of Armillaria mellea, 98 nucleotides long. The record is from the annotation of a GenBank genome assembly. Lineage: Eukaryota; Fungi; Basidiomycota; Agaricomycetes; Agaricales; Physalacriaceae.
UCGGAUAUGGUGUAACGGCUAACAUUGCCGCCUCUCAUGAGUGGGCAUGUUCUCCUCUUUAUACGCGGCAGCUCGGGGUUCGAUUCCCCGUAUCCGAA